Molecule: ribosomal RNA, 407 nt
Filed under: uncultured bacterium
Lineage: Bacteria
Description: bacterial SSU rRNA
Rfam family: Bacterial small subunit ribosomal RNA
Source: RNAcentral
GCGAGGAAUCUUGCGCAAUGGGCGAAAGCCUGACGCAGCAACGCCGCGUGGGUGACGAAGGCCUUCGGGUCGUAAAACCCUUUUGUCGGGGAAGAAGAUCUGACGGUACCCGACGAAGAAGCCACGGCUAACUACGUGCCAGCAGCCGCGGUAAUACGUAGGUGGCGAGCGUUAUCCGGAUUUACUGGGCGUAAAGCGUACGUAGGCGGUUCGGCAAGUCUGUCGUGAAAUCUCCCGGCUCAACUGGGAGCGGUCGAUGGAAACUGCCGGACUUGAGGGACGUAGAGGUGAGCGGAAUUCCCGGUGUAGUGGUGAAAUGCGUAGAUAUCGGGAGGAACACCAGUGGCGAAAGCGGCUCACUAGGCGUUACCUGACGCUGAGGUACGAAAGCGUGGGGAGCGAACCGG